Molecule: long non-coding RNA, 2226 nt
Organism: Bubalus bubalis (water buffalo)
Lineage: Eukaryota; Metazoa; Chordata; Mammalia; Artiodactyla; Bovidae
Exons: 3
Source: RefSeq, a predicted model, not a curated record
CUUAGGAAUAGGCACCCAGGCCCCGAUGAGUACCAUGAUGCCCAGAGCACCUGGAGGAAACAGCAGGCCUGACAUGGCUGGAGCCAAAGCAAGGCAUCAGAAGAGAACUGGGUCUGAACCGGCACCUUUUCCCUCACCUGGUGGGUGUCAUGGCAGCAGCCAGAGCCCACCUUCAGGUGCUUCUAGCCCACACAAUUUGGCACAUCUCUAUAUUUUCUUCCAUCAAGGUCUCUGCCUUCUGGCUCUCUGCCCAACCAGUUGCCCACAGACUGGAAAACAAAGGCUCGAAGCCUUCCCUGGAGACCUGGGCUUAAGGGAUGGGCCUUGGGCAGGCUGGGCGGAUGCUCUGUUGAUUUUUUUUUUUCCAAGUGCAGAGAAUGUGACAGCCAAUUCCUGUUGGAAAUAGCUUUUGUUUUCUUUGGAGCACAAAGCACUUUUCCUUUCUCGUGAUUGUCUCAGUUCAGGUCAUGUUUAGGAUGAUGAUUUGCUAACCUAAUUGCCUGCCUUCCAGAUCCAGAGUUCUUAACCUUUUAGGGUAGAGACCCUAUCGGAACUCUGAUAAGAACUAUGGACCCUGUCCCCCAAAUGUACAUACACACAGAUACCCCCAGUUUCACAUUUAAUAUCAAUCCUAGGAGGUUAAAAUCCCCUGGAUGAAGAAGAGUGUGUUCUUCCUACCCCACACCCCUGCUCCCACCCCCAGGUUUUUUUUUUCCAUCUGGAUCUUAAAAUUCCCCCAGCACUUCUUGCCUGGCUCUUGCCUGAAUUAAUCACCCCUGCUGAGGAGCAGGGACACUGGCUGGAUUCGGGCUGCCUCUGGUUUCAAGACUCCAGGUCUGUGGUGCUUUUUCAGGCAGCAGGAUAUUCCAGUGGGGGUUGUAAAAUAUCUGUCUCAUCCAUGCCUGGUUAUUAUGAAGGAGCUGGGCAGCCAGAGUCUCGGAGAUUCUAGAAGAGGUAACACAGCUUUGGGUGAGACUAGGGAGACAGGCGUUGUCUGGUUUUGUUAAAUUCCAGAAGCAAGUCAUUUUGCCAAAAAUGCCAAAAAUAAAAGGGCUGUCUAGACACACACUAGAAGCUCUCCUAUGAAGAGAGGCCUUCCUGAAGAUCAUUGAUUUAUACUUAAAUGGCAAGACUAGAGGCUUCAUUUAUUUAUUUUUUUGGCCACACCGUGCAACUUGUGGGAUCUUAGUUCCCUGACCAGGGAUUGAACCCCGGGCCAUCGACAGUGAGAGCUGAUAAUCUCUGGACCGCCAGGGAAUUCCCUGGGUUCAUUUAUUUAACAGGCAUGGUUUGCGUCCCUGGGGUGCACUGUGAAUUAGACAGACAACGAACCAGAGAGUUUUAAAGGUAGUGACAAGGACAAGGAUGAAAAUAAAAUAGGGUGAAGUAGUAGAUGUGAACUGAGAAGGUGCACUGGAGCCAAAACCUACAUAUUGCAAAAGCAGCUUCCAUCUGGAGGAGAAGAGCUCCAGGUGGAGUGAGCAGCUGCUGAAAAGGCCCUGAGGCUGAAACAAAUGGGGCUGCUUAAGGAAAAGGAAAAACACCUGUGGCUGGUGCAGCUUCCGGGAGAAGGAAGGUCCAGCUUCCGGGAGAAAGGAGGCCGGGACGGGGACAGGAGUGGUAGGCAGCGGGUGGGCCGCGUUGGGUUUGCAGGAAAGACAAUGGAGGGGGCAGAGCAGGCAUCUGUGACUGGAUUUGCAGAUUUGCAUUUUGAGAUUUGGCCUCCGCGGAAGAAGUGUCUUCGGGGAGGGCAAGAGUGGAAGACGGACCGAAGCGAGGCUGACUAGUGGCCCAGAUAAGAAAACAAGUUCAGAGACGUUAGGUAAAUUGCCCAAGGCCACAAAGAUAACAAGUGAUAGACUGGGAUCCAAACCCAGGCCAGCGUGGUUCCAAAGCUUUCCACACCAUCCCAGAACAACCCAGAAGGGAGUGGGCCUCGCAGGGUCCACCUUGUCUGACUGCCUGGGAUUGUCUCAGAAAAAGACUGGGGCAACAUUCCCAACAACUGGACACAGGAAAAGCCAGCCCAUCACACCCAGGGUUACACCCAGGCUUACAAAGAGAAACAUGACAUGUGUUCCUGUCUGUGGUGUUUCAGGCUCUCUGGUGGGUGUGCACACCUGUGACUAGACCAAGCUCCAUGGAGGGAGGGCUGUGUCUUCUUCUCUUUAUUGUUUUUGCUGUGCUUGAAUGAAUGAACGGAGGUUGACAGACACUGUCUUCAUC